ACGCUGGCGGCAGGCCUAACACAUGCAAGUCGAGCGGUAGAGAGAAGCUUGCUUCUCUUGAGAGCGGCGGACGGGUGAGUAAUGCCUAGGAAUCUGCCUGGUAGUGGGGGAUAACGUUCGGAAACGGACGCUAAUACCGCAUACGUCCUACGGGAGAAAGCAGGGGACCUUCGGGCCUUGCGCUAUCAGAUGAGCCUAGGUCGGAUUAGCUAGUUGGUGGGGUAAUGGCUCACCAAGGCGACGAUCCGUAACUGGUCUGAGAGGAUGAUCAGUCACACUGGAACUGAGACACGGUCCAGACUCCUACGGGAGGCAGCAGUGGGGAAUAUUGGACAAUGGGCGAAAGCCUGAUCCAGCCAUGCCGCGUGUGUGAAGAAGGUCUUUCGGAUUGUAAAGCACUUUAAGUUGGGAGGAAGGGCAGUUGCCUAAUACGUAACUGUUUUGACGUUACCGACAGAAUAAGCACUGGCUAACUCUGUGCCAGCAGCCGCGGUAAUACAGAGGGUGCAAGCGUUAAUCGGAAUUACUGGGCGUAAAGCGCGCGUAGGUGGUUUGUUAAGUUGGAUGUGAAAUCCCCGGGCUCAACCUGGGAACUGCAUUCAAAACUGACUGACUAGAGUAUGGUAGAGGGUGGUGGAGUUUCCUGUGUAGCGGUGAAAUGCGUAGAUAUAGGAAGGAACACCAGUGGCGAAGGCGACCACCUGGACUGAUACUGACACUGAGGUGCGAAAGCGUGGGGAGCAAAC
Molecule: ribosomal RNA, 746 nt
Filed under: uncultured bacterium
Lineage: Bacteria
Description: bacterial SSU rRNA
Rfam family: Bacterial small subunit ribosomal RNA
Source: RNAcentral